UACGUAGGUGGCAAGCGUUGUCCGGAUUUACUGGGUGUAAAGGGCGCGUAGGCGGGAAUAUAAGUCAGGUGUGAAAUCUAUGGGCUCAACCCAUAAACUGCACUUGAAACUGUAUUUCUUGAGUGAUGGAGAGGCAGGCGGAAUUCCUAGUGUAGCGGUGAAAUGCGUAGAUAUUAGGAGGAACACCAGUGGCGAAGGCGGCCUGCUGGACAUUAACUGACGCUGAGGCGCGAAAGCGUGGGGAGCAAACAGGAUUAGAUACCCCGGUA
RNAcentral lists this ribosomal RNA (269 nucleotides) under uncultured prokaryote. RNAcentral describes it as "partial 16S ribosomal RNA". It matches the Rfam family "Bacterial small subunit ribosomal RNA", at positions 524 to 792 of the family's 1533-position model. The record is from RNAcentral.